Molecule: unclassified non-coding RNA, 330 nt
Filed under: Hevea brasiliensis (rubber tree)
Lineage: Eukaryota; Viridiplantae; Streptophyta; Magnoliopsida; Malpighiales; Euphorbiaceae
Source: RNAcentral
GUUGAAACAUGCCGUGUCUUUAAACGGACAACUACUGAAAAGUUGCACGCAGCUUUGAUGUCUUCAUCCCAGACUGAUAAAAUUGAACAUGUGGAAGAUAAUGAACGGGGGAAUGGUGGAUCUGAUGUUCCUCAACAAAAGCAGGUUAACCAAAAAAGCAUAAAAGCUACUAAUUCUACUAAAAAAGGGAACGAUCGUGCAAAGUCACCAACACUUAAAGUGGUUCUUGGGGAGGCACUAGGCUAUGGCCCAGCACUUUCUGAACACAUUAUUCUAGAUGCUGGCUUGGUUCCAAAUACAAAGAUUGACGCAGAUUUUACAUUAGAAGGC